AGAAUCAACGCUGGCGGCGUGCCUAACACAUGCAAGUCGCACGAGAAAGGGGAGCAAUCCCUGAGUAAAGUGGCGCACGGGUGAGUAACACGUGAAUGAUCUACCUCCGAGUGGGGAAUAACUGAGAGAAAUCUUAGCUAAUACCGCAUAAUACCCACGGGUCAAAGCAGCAAUGCGCUUGGAGAGGAGUUCGCGGCCGAUUAGCUAGUUGGCGGGGUAAUGGCCCACCAAGGCGAUGAUCGGUAUCCGGCCUGAGAGGGCGCACGGACACACUGGAACUGAAACACGGGUCCAGACUCCUACGGGAGGCAGCAGUGGGGAAUUUUGCGCAAUGGGGGAAACCCUGACGCAGCAACGCCGCGUGGAGGAUGAAGCCCCUUGGGGUGUAAACUCCUUUCGAUCGGGAAGAUAAUGACGGUACCGAUAUAAGAAGCCCCGGCUAACUUCGCGCCAGCAGCCGC
RNAcentral lists this ribosomal RNA (461 nucleotides) under uncultured bacterium. RNAcentral's name for it is "SSU rRNA". It matches the Rfam family "Bacterial small subunit ribosomal RNA", at positions 26 to 518 of the family's 1533-position model. The record is from RNAcentral.